RNAcentral lists this ribosomal RNA (253 nucleotides) under uncultured bacterium. RNAcentral's name for it is "partial 16S ribosomal RNA". It matches the Rfam family "Bacterial small subunit ribosomal RNA", at positions 524 to 776 of the family's 1533-position model. The record is from RNAcentral.
UACGUAGGGUGCGAGCGUUAAUCGGAAUUACUGGGCGUAAAGCGUGCGCAGGCGGCUCUAUAAGACAGAUGUGAAAUCCCCGGGCUUAACUUGGGAACUGCAUUUGUGACUGUAUGGCUAGAGUGCGUCAGAGGGGGGUGGAAUUCCACGUGUAGCAGUGAAAUGCGUAGAGAUGUGGAGGAACACCGAUGGCGAAGGCAGCCCCCUGGGAUGACACUGACGCUCAUGCACGAAAGCGUGGGGAGCAAACAGG